This 328-nucleotide ribosomal RNA is filed under the name uncultured bacterium. RNAcentral's name for it is "bacterial SSU rRNA". It matches the Rfam family "Bacterial small subunit ribosomal RNA", at positions 112 to 438 of the family's 1533-position model. The record is from RNAcentral.
AACGCGUGAGGAACCUGCCUCAAAGAGGGGGACAACAGUUGGAAACGACUGCUAAUACCGCAUAAGCCCACGGGUCGGCAUCGACCUGAGGGAAAAGGAGUGAUCCGCUUUGAGAUGGCCUCGCGUCCGAUUAGCUAGUUGGUGAGGUAAUGGCCCACCAAGGCGACGAUCGGUAGCCGGACUGAGAGGUUGAACGGCCACAUUGGGACUGAGACACGGCCCAGACUCCUACGGGAGGCAGCAGUGGGGAAUAUUGCACAAUGGGGGAAACCCUGAUGCAGCGACGCCGCGUGGAGGAAGAAGGUCUUCGGAUUGUAAACUCCUGUUG